ACGCUGGCGGCAGGCCUAACACAUGCAAGUCGAGCGGCAGCACAGGUACUUGUACCGGGUGGCGAGCGGCGGACGGGUGAGUAAUGCCUAGGAAUCUGCCUGGUAGUGGGGGAUAACGCUCGGAAACGGACGCUAAUACCGCAUACGUCCUACGGGAGAAAGCAGGGGACCUUCGGGCCUUGCGCUAUCAGAUGAGCCUAGGUCGGAUUAGCUGGUUGGUGGGGUAAUGGCUCACCAAGGCGACGAUCCGUAACUGGUCUGAGAGGAUGAUCAGUCACACUGGAACUGAGACACGGUCCAGACUCCUACGGGAGGCAGCAGUGGGGAAUAUUGGACAAUGGGCGCAAGCCUGAUCCAGCCAUGCCGCGUGUGUGAAGAAGGUCUUCGGAUUGUAAAGCACUUUAAGUUGGGAGGAAGGGCCGUUACCUAAUACGUGAUGGUUUUGACGUUACCGACAGAAUAAGCACCGGCUAACUCUGUGCCAGCAGCCGCGGUAAUACAGAGGGUGCAAGCGUUAAUCGGAAUUACUGGGCGUAAAGCGCGCGUAGGUGGUUUGUCAAGUUGAAUGUGAAAGCCCCGGGCUCAACCUGGGAACUGCAUGCAAAACUGGCAGGCUAGAGUAUGGUAGAGGGUGGUGGAAUUUCCUGUGUAGCGGUGAAAUGCGUAGAUAUAGGAAGGAACACCAGUGGCGAAGGCGACCACCUGGACUGAUACUGACACUGAGGUGCGAAAGCGUGGGGAGCAAACAG
RNAcentral lists this ribosomal RNA (749 nucleotides) under uncultured bacterium. Its description in RNAcentral is "bacterial SSU rRNA". It matches the Rfam family "Bacterial small subunit ribosomal RNA", at positions 33 to 775 of the family's 1533-position model. The record is from RNAcentral.